RNAcentral lists this long non-coding RNA (435 nucleotides) under Homo sapiens (human). Its description in RNAcentral is "HSALNT0335014". The record is from RNAcentral. Lineage: Eukaryota; Metazoa; Chordata; Mammalia; Primates; Hominidae.
UGGAGCAGGGGUGAAGGGCAAACACGCUAGGCGCGAGGUUCAGGAAGAACGGGUCGAGGGACGCGCGCAGGGGCAGGGGCGGCCGCGGGCACCGGGAGAGCAGCGCGCCGCGGCCCCUCGCCUCCCUCAGAGCGCUCCGCACCGCCGUCCCCACCGACCUUCAACGGGGCCGGGGCCAGGCUCCGACCGCCAGCAGUCGGCUCCUCCGUGCAGUCCCGGGUAGAGAGCCCGGUCCCUGCGCUAGUCGAUUUGUGCAGUAGGAAAGGAGGCUGCAGGGGAUCUGCGCCGGGGCAGGACAGAUGCCUUUCGGGACCCAGUGUUUGCAUCUUGGGAGAUGUGGGUGCUGAUCUGGUUGUUUCUUGGUUUAUGACGCCAAAAAGGGCGGGAGGGGGCUGAUGAAGUGAAGCCUUUCGCUAAUACAUUCCGUUAACAGAA